UUCUGGUGAGAAGCCCAGCAAGAAUCAUUCUGUAGCUAAGCCCGUUGAUGUGGGCGGCUCUUCAAGUUUUGGCAAAUUGAAACAAUGCACCUGGGAUUCCCGUAAUGCAGAUUUCAGUGGCAGUUCUAUCAAGAUGCCUACUUUACGCCUAGUUCCGGUCCCUGCGAAUGAAUGUCCAUUUCCCCAGGUGCCAAAGAACGCUUCACGUCUAGUGCAGGUUCCUGCAAAUGAGUGUCCAUUUUCUGGGGUGCCAAACGACCCUGUCCCACCUCCUCUUGAGGUCCCA
RNAcentral lists this long non-coding RNA (286 nucleotides) under Nicotiana benthamiana. RNAcentral's name for it is "long non-coding RNA (NBEN_LNC023468)". Lineage: Eukaryota; Viridiplantae; Streptophyta; Magnoliopsida; Solanales; Solanaceae. The record is from RNAcentral.